GUUGUAGCUCAGUGGUAGAGCACAUGCCUCUCAUGCGUGAGGCACUGGGUUCAAUCCUCAGCACACA
RNAcentral lists this transfer RNA (67 nucleotides) under Marmota monax (woodchuck). Its description in RNAcentral is "tRNA.Glu". It matches the Rfam family "tRNA", at positions 6 to 65 of the family's 71-position model. From Rfam's summary of the family: Transfer RNA (tRNA) molecules are approximately 80 nucleotides in length. Their secondary structure includes four short double-helical elements and three loops (D, anti-codon, and T loops). Lineage: Eukaryota; Metazoa; Chordata; Mammalia; Rodentia; Sciuridae. The record is from RNAcentral.